RNAcentral lists this ribosomal RNA (253 nucleotides) under uncultured bacterium. RNAcentral's name for it is "partial 16S ribosomal RNA". It matches the Rfam family "Bacterial small subunit ribosomal RNA", at positions 524 to 776 of the family's 1533-position model. The record is from RNAcentral.
UACAGAGGUCUCGAGCGUUAGGCGGAAUCACUGGGCUUAAAGCGUGUGUAGGCGGGUCGUUAAGUACCUUGUGAAAUCCCAUGGCUCAACCAUGGAACUGCUGGGUAUACUGGCGAUCUUGUUCAACCUAGGGGCGAGCGGAACAGAUGGUGGAGCGGUGAAAUGCGUAGAUAUCAUCUGGAACGCCAAUGGUGAAAACAGCUCGCUGGGGGUUUGCAGACGCUGAGACACGAAAGCCAGGGGAGCGAACGGG